Molecule: ribosomal RNA, 501 nt
Filed under: uncultured bacterium
Lineage: Bacteria
Description: partial 16S ribosomal RNA
Rfam family: Bacterial small subunit ribosomal RNA
Source: RNAcentral
AUUGAACGCUGGCGGCAUGCCUUACACAUGCAAGUCGAACGGCAGCACGGGUGCUUGCACCUGGUGGCGAGUGGCGAACGGGUGAGUAAUACAUCGGAACGUACCUUAUCGUGGGGGAUAACGCAGCGAAAGCUGUGCUAAUACCGCAUACGCCCUGAGGGGGAAAGCGGGGGAUCGCAAGACCUCGCGCGAUUAGAGCGGCCGAUGCCUGAUUAGCUUGUUGGUGGGGUAAAAGCCCACCAAGGCGACGAUCAGUAGCAGGUCUGAGAGGACGAUCAGCCACACUGGGACUGAGACACGGCCCAGACUCCUACGGGAAGUAGCAGUGGGGAAUUUUGGACAGUGGGGGCAACCCUGAUCCAGCAAUGCCGCGUGAGUGAAGAAGGCCUUCGGGUUGUAAAGCUCUUUUAUCAGGGAAGAAACACCGGCUCUAACACAGUCUGGGAAUGACGGUACCUGAAGAAUAAGCACCGGCUAACUACGUGCCAGCAGCCGCAGUAA